RNA transcript from Phyllopteryx taeniolatus (common seadragon), 5364 nucleotides. It is a transcript of the gene named gem (nuclear organelle) associated protein 4, with no coding region annotated. Lineage: Eukaryota; Metazoa; Chordata; Actinopteri; Syngnathiformes; Syngnathidae. The record is from RefSeq and is a predicted model, not a curated record. The transcript is spliced from 8 exons.
AGUACCAGCACCUGGAAUCGACUCUUGUCUGGAUUCGUUGACCAGGGGCACGCUUGACAUGUUGACCAUCUGCGAGCUCUCUUCCAGUCUUCAUAUCCUGUUUGUUUGAUGCUAAAUAAACCAAAGUCAGUCCUGUUUUGACACGUUGUGGCUCCAGAUUAAAUACUGACCGAAGCCCUUUUUACAUGACCAUGGAUAAAGACUGGGCCAUUCUUCAAGGAUCUUUCCUCCUGGCUGAUAAGUUAUGUCUGCCGUCCUCGCUGAGCUCACUUCAGAAAUGUGACUGGGACAAGGUGGGCAAGCCAGUCUUGGCCACAGUGAGGGAAAUCUGUGGCGAGGAGGAUGUCGGUGGUCAUCUCAAGAGCAAGGCCGCCUCCUGGAGGAAAAAGUUAGUUUGUGUUGUGUGGUUGAAGUUGUUGAGCAGGGAGAAUAGAGAGGAUGUGGAGGAGGUGUGGAGGGAGAGCACCUUUUUCCCUCUCCAGAGCCCCCUCCCAGAAGUCAAUCACACCGUCCUGAUGGAAUUGCUCAAAUCCUUGUCAGCUGCAGACAUAUUUGCUCAUUUUCUACUGUGUCUUCCUCCGCGUCAGAUGUGUUCUGAGCUGGAACGGUUGACGGAGCAUGUGAAAAGCAACCCUGUGGGUGAGGAUGAUGUCCAUUUCUUUCUUGAGUUAUGGUGGCAACUGUGGAAAGGCAGAUAUGAGCAGUUUGGAGAGCAGCAAAACCUUGAAGUGUUGUUUGCUAACCAGGUUGCUCAUCUUACUUCUCAGCCUGCUAGUUUGACUCAUCAGGCUGCCAAGAGGCUGAAACUGGACUCAUCAGCAUUACCACACAACACGGGUGUCCUAGACAUUCUCCUCCACACGCUCACAGAUAUGAAGGAUGUCAUAUCCAAACCAGAGCACGGCUUAUAUGCGCUCUCUAAUUGUCUCGAUGCUCUUUACACAACUUUCCUCAUCGAUCAUUCAGUCAUCCUUCCAAUCAAAGACAAGAUUGUGUUCCUGUCCAAAGCCAUGAGUGUCAGCGAGAACAGUGACAAGCUGAGUUCACAGCUAAUACAGGAGGUUCAGCGAGACCUCCGUGCCUCUUUAACCCCAUCCCAGUUUCAGCCUAGCAGAUUGAGCCUUUAUGAAGCCUUGAGGAGUGUGGCAGAGCUCACCCAUUUCUGGCAAAGUCACGGCUUGCUGAAAGUGUGUAGCGGCCCUCCUUCCAGUUACACAGCUUUCAGACUACAGCAAAGUGUCCACAGAAUGCUGGCGGCUCUGGAAGAAGCCGACAUGACCGGAGAAGAAGAGUCUGAGAAGAAUAACCUCCGAGGUUUACUUGCAUCGCUGGCUUUCCCCACUGUAGAGAGCUCCUCAGAGUUGAGUAUGAGGGUUGCCAUGACCAUCGUAAGUCACCGGCUGGAGGACUAUCGCGACGUCACUGUGUUGUUUGCCAGCGAGAAGAGCUGGUCGGCCCAUGAGGAGCGGUGGCUGGACUGCCUUGAAGAGAACAAAACGGCCUUCCAGCACUGUGACACGCUAAUCCAACUGGCCUCCACCCUCACGAGUCAACUCCACAGCGAGAGCUUUGGCGUGAGCCAGGCCAGGAGGCUGCUCAAAGUUGUCACGGCCGUGUUCACUGCGCUCGCCUUGGAAGACAAGAAUAAAGCUUUGGCUGCCAUUCUGAGAAUAUCCAGUAAGGGCUUCUGUGGAUGCUCGGGCUCCUCCGCUCUGAUCGCCGGCUUUGAGCAAGAGCUCAACAUGGCUUUCAACUGCAUCAUCCAGGGAGGAGGCAAAGCUCCAACGGCGGAGGGCAACCUCAGCACAGCAGUGUCUUUAGUCGCCAGAGUGGCCUUCCAGAACCCAGAGGCUACUUUGAGAUCCUGCUGUCAUUCUGCCAUCUUUAAUAAAGGGGCGUUCGCUCUCAUGAGUAAGAUCCUGCAGCAGUUGCCCGGCCUGGGAGGUGUUACAGAAAGCAAAAGCGACGGGAGAAGAAAUCCAACACGUCUACUCUGCAGGUGUCUGCAGGAAAUAAUAAGCGUCAGAUCACUCUCAGACAAUGAAAAGGAACAGUUCCUUAAGUUUGUGGAGCUGAUGAUGGUGCCAGUCGCAACAGUUGAAGGGGAAAGAGAGAGCCUCCUGUCACCUCAGGAGCUUGUCAACACUUUUGUCCUGCCUAACCUAGCUCUCUCAGGCAGCAACGUUGUUGAUCUCAAUCUAAGUCUGCAACUUCUCCACGCCGCCUUGUGUGUGGACGUCCAGCAAGAAGUAGCUUCCUCCUCAGCCCACUGGGUGCUGGAAUGCUCUCCCUUUCCACUGCUCUACAUCCUGGCUCAGUUUCAUGACCAGGCCCUCAGGUGUUUGGAGCAACCACCCGAGGGUGCUGUACACCAUUGGUCCAUGGACACCAAAGAGCUGCUGGCAUCGGUGCUGAUCACACUGGCACAGGUGGUGGGCGUCCAGGUGGAAGCUGCCCCAAGUCGCUGGUCCAGAGCUCUCUUCUGGCUCCACGAUAAGAUGAAGGAACUGGACUGGACUGUUUACUUUCACCUGAAACCCGUGUGGGGUAGACACUUCAAAAACGAAGUUCCCACGUCUCUGUUGGCAGUGUGUCAUCUUCCUGAGCAGGAAUGGUCGGGUCUUAACCUUCCCCAGUACGGACCCGGCACAGGUCUUUUGGCGUGGAUGGAGUGCUGCGCACUGUCAGAAUCCCUCCAGUCUAUCAUGUUGUCUUGUCUGGCUCUGGACCAGCGUCAGUCUGAACACGUCAGCAUGUUCAGUAAAGGCCUGCUGGUGGCGCUAACCCAGACCAUGCCCUGGUGUUCCGUCCCCCAAUGGAGCAGAUUACUUGGAGCCUUGAAGGAGCUGAUUACCUCAGGUCGCCUCCAUGUGCCUUUCUCGCUGGAGUACGUGGAAUUCCUGCCCCUCCUAGAUCUGAGAAGGUUUUCCUAUGAACUCUGCCUCUCAGUCCUCAUGCUCAGAGUCCUGCAGCUGCUCUGUGGAUCCAGCUGUUCUCACUGGUUGACAGGAGAUGGCUGUGCCCACCUUGCAAGAUUAUAUGCUCACACGGUGAGGGAGGUGAUGAACUCGCUAAGAGCCAAGUUAGCCCUGCCCGCAUCUGGCACUCUUACAGUCUCGCCCAAUGUACAUCCUGCACCACCAAAAGUUUCCGAUGUAUCUUGCAACUCAUUUAAAGUUUCUAAAAUGUCCCAAGACUCUUUGAAAGAUCUUAAAGAAGGUGCACAAACUGUCGAGCAGGUUCCGAGUCAGGAGGUCCUUUUCGUUCUCAGUCAGAUCUUCUGUCAUGUUCAACACAUCCAGGUGAUGAUGCCUGGAGGCCAGAGUGAACCUCUCUUCCUGUCCAGCCUGGAGAUCCUCAGUCACUACCAGACCAUCAUGUCCGCUUUCCCCAAGAGCAGCACCCCCCUGGAGAAUGAAAACACCAAGCACUUCUUCUACACCAUUACAGACAACCUGGAGAACCAAGAGAUGAAGUCUGUUCUACAGCAGAAGAUAGCGCAACUCGUAUUAUCUCCUGCAUGAUGCCCUUGCCAUUUUGAUCCUGGUGUUCUCGAGGCCCACCUGCAUGCAAGAGACAGGAGAGGAGGCGUGAGAAGGCAAGAAAGAAGCAAUACCGUAACUGUGUCCUCGUUGAAGGUGGCGGGUGAGACAAAUGAACUUGAAGUGACCAACCUUUCGCUGACAAUCAAUACGUCCGCGUCGCUCCAGCGUGUGAAAGUCCACCUGAGAACUUUGCGGAAGCCGAAGUAAAGUCCAACAAAUGUCACGGUUCCACAAGCAAACGUUUUAAGCAUGAUGAUCGUUGGCGUCGCCCUUAAAGCACAAUAAUGUAUCACUCUAACAACAAUAAACCUUACUAUUGUACAACAGUACCGUUAAAGAUGAACAGAGCGACGCACCGGAUAUGACGCACAGGAAAGGCGGGGGCAGGAAUUUCUAUCUAUGUCGUGCUUUCACAAUAAAGGUUGUCACAAUAACAUUAAUACAUACAUAUAUAAUCAUAUAUAUAUACACAUAAAUAAUAAGAAAAUGCCGCAGCUAAGAAGCUGUGGCGCAAGCAUCUAAAGCACUUGUUUACCAUGAGUAAAGUAAAAAAAAGAAUUUAAAAAAAUGUCAGCGAGAGAAGGUUGCCCGGAUGUUUGAGAUUCGUUCACACGCUGGUGCGCGGCCUCAUAACUACAUUUUCGACUAUAUCACAUGUGUAAUAUGUAGACAAUUACGAAAAGUGUCUGUAAAAAAAACUCGCGGCUGGAUUUGUUGUCACUACAAAUGUAUACGCAAUAACAGCAAUAAUGGCGAUAACGAGCCUACAUUUCGCUUACCGUCGGUGUUAGUGACCAUCUACAAAUUACACAUUCCAGGGUGAAAAAUGUGUAACAAAUCACCAUAUAGCAAAUAUAUAUAUAUUCCCCCCCCCCCCCCCCCCCAUUCUGUUUAGUGUAGUAGUUGGCAAUGGGCGUGCACUACUUACUACAAGUCAAACUUUGCUGAUAUCUUGCGUUAUAGAGAAACUAGAUGCAAUUCAUUGGCAAAAAUAUUCACCAAAAUUCAACAAGUCAAAAUAUUCACUAAAUCAAUAAAAACUAAUUUUUCCUCAGUCUGAUUGCUGUGGUAGUGGAAACGGGAGUCCACUACUUACUACAGGUCCAACUUUUCUGAUAUCUUACAUUUUGGUUAAACUGUGUGCAAUUUAUCAUCCAAAAUAUUUACUAAAAAUCAAUAAAAAAGCGUUUUCUCAUUCUGAUUGGUGUAAGUAGUUGGCAAGGGGAGUCCACUACUUAUUAAAAGGUCAAACUUUGCUGACGUCUUGCAUUAUAGAGAAACUGUGUGCAAUUAAUUGGCCAAAAAAAUAUUCACAAAAAAAAAAAAGCAAUAAAAAGCCUCAUUUGAGAAACUUCACAUGCAUUUCAAAGGAAAGCCAAGUUUCGCAUAUUUUUUCUUUAGAAGUUCAGAUCUACUAGUUAGUACUAUUCAGAUUGGACUUCGGGUGAAGUACAAGCAAAUAUUUCACAUCAAAUGUCUUUUGCAUUUCCUUAGGGUUGGCUUCACUUUCAAGAUGUUCUUCAUUAGGAUGCGUUUCCUAAGACAGUGAGCCAAUUUGAUUUAUUUUUAAUUUUUGUUUUUGUUUACACAGAAUCACAGCAAUCAUAUAUACUGCACAUGCAUUUUUAUUCAACUCAUUAUAAAAUUCUUACAUUCCUUUUUUAGAAAAGUGCACUAUGCUGGCUGUAACAGAAAGGCAAACUAACUGUGCCCAGGAAGAUUUACAGUGAUGUAAUUUAGUUAAUGUCUGAGUUGUAAACAGUAUUUUCUUUUUAGAAUAGCUGCACUGACAUGGCAGUACCUUGUGCGUCUCAAACAA